Molecule: ribosomal RNA, 1206 nt
Filed under: Triticum aestivum (bread wheat)
Lineage: Eukaryota; Viridiplantae; Streptophyta; Magnoliopsida; Poales; Poaceae
Description: partial small subunit ribosomal RNA
Source: RNAcentral
AUGGUCGUCGGGGUCGUCGGCGUCGGUGAUGCAGCACCCGCGCAGCGGCACCAGGUUCCGGUGCCGGAAGUGGCUGAUGAUCUCCACCUCGUUGGCGAACUCGUCGUCCCCGCCGUCCACGUCCGGGUCCAGCAUCUUCUUGACGGCGACCACCGACCCGUCCGCGAGCACGCCGCGGUACACGACGCCGAACCCGCCGCGGCCGAUGAUGUUCCGCUCCGCGAACCCGCCGGUCGCCCUCGCCAGCUCGCGGAUGUCGAACAGCACCGAGCCGGUGUUUGGUCGCUGCCGCGACGGCCGCCGCUCGUCGGACAAACCGCGGUUCCUGCCGCUGAUGCCGUCGUGCCGCUUCGUCCAAACGAGCAGCGCUAUGAGGGAGACGAGGAGGACGGAUGCGAUCGGGAUGACGGUUGCGACUGCGAUGUUGGUGUGGGUAAUGGAGCUGGAGGCAUUCGAGGAUGCGGGGGAUGGGGUGGAGAGAGCGAGGCCGAAGGCGCAUGCGGCGGUGGCAGGGGAGGUGGGGCCGGCGGAGUUGGACACGCCGGCGGCGUAGAGGGCGGUGAGGUAGAAGCAGUUGAGGGAGUUGGAGGCUUUGCCGGCGGCAGCUGUGAGUCGAGCCAAGGCAUGGAUUCCGGCGGCGAGGCAGGCGUAGCAGAAGGACGUGUCGGUGAGGUUGGAGCCGCAGGAGGAGUUGAGUUCCCCGGCAGCCACAUCACCGACGGUGGCGACGUACUGCGCGGCGGUGGUGACCCCGGCGCAGUAGGACGGGGAGAUGGCGAACUGGGACGGGACGGGGAAGCAGGCUGGCGCGAGGGAGCGCGGGAGCGAGAGCGGCGGCGAGGCGAGCGCGUCGGAGAAGGCGCGGAUGCAGGCGGCCGAGGCCGGCGGGGACGGGAGGCGGAAGAGGCCGGUGGCGCGCAGGCGCGCGGCGAGGCCGAUGCCGAGCACGGAGAGCAGGGUCAUGCAGCAGGCGGUGACGUUGGAGACCGGCGGCGCGCACGGCGCGCGGUCCCACGGGAACGUGCGCACGUAGCCCAGGUCGAGCGGGCACGGCGGCGGCGGCUUUACUUCCCCCGCCGCCUGGCGCAGCGCCAGCGCGGCGACGAGGAGGAGCCGGAUAAGGCCCGCGACGGUCGCCAUUGGUUUCGGCGGACGAACAAGCGCCAGAGCGCGAACAAAAGGUGCGAACCGAAUCGACCGAUCUAG